AUUGAACGCUGGCGGCAAGCCUAACACAUGCAAGUCGAACGAGUGGCGGACGGGUGAGUAAUGUCUGGGAAACUGCCUGAUGGAGGGGGAUAACUAAUGGAAACGGUAGCUAAUACCGCAUACCAUCGGAUGUGCCCAGAUGGGAUUAGCUAGUCGGUGGGGAAAAGGAUCACCUAGGCGACGAUCCCUAGCUGGUCUGAGAGGAGAACCAGCGACACUGGAACGUAGACACGGUCCAGACUCCUACGGGGGGCAGCAGUGGGGAAUAUUGCACGAUGGGCGCAAGCCUGAUGCAGCCAUGCCGGGUGUAUGAAGAAGGCCUUCGGGUUGUAAAGUACUUUCAGCGGGGAGGCGUUACCCGCAGAAGAAGCACCGGCUAACUCCGUGCCAGCAGCCGCGGUAAUAC
Molecule: ribosomal RNA, 406 nt
Filed under: uncultured bacterium
Lineage: Bacteria
Description: partial 16S ribosomal RNA
Rfam family: Bacterial small subunit ribosomal RNA
Source: RNAcentral